RNAcentral lists this ribosomal RNA (428 nucleotides) under Bacillota bacterium. RNAcentral's name for it is "Firmicutes bacterium partial 16S ribosomal RNA". It matches the Rfam family "Bacterial small subunit ribosomal RNA", at positions 355 to 776 of the family's 1533-position model. The record is from RNAcentral. Lineage: Bacteria; Bacillati; Bacillota.
UGGGGAAUUUUGGACAAUGGGGGCAACCCUGAUCCAGCAAUGCCGCGUGUGUGAAGAAGGCCUUCGGGUUGUAAAGCACUUUUGUCCGGGAAGAAAUCGCACCUGAUAAUACCGGGUGUGGAUGACGGUACCGGAAGAAUAAGGACCGGCUAACUACGUGCCAGCAGCCGCGGUAAUACGUAGGGUCCAAGCGUUAAUCGGAAUUACUGGGCGUAAAGCGUGCGCAGGCGGUUGUGCAAGACCGAUGUGAAAUCCCCGGGCUUAACCUGGGAAUUGCAUUGGUGACUGCACGGCUAGAGUGUGUCAGAGGGGGGUAGAAUUCCACGUGUAGCAGUGAAAUGCGUAGAGAUGUGGAGGAAUACCGAUGGCGAAGGCAGCCCCCUGGGAUAACACUGACGCUCAUGCACGAAAGCGUGGGAGCAAACAGG